GCGGAAAUGGCGGAAUUGGUAGACGCACCAGAUUUAGGUUCUGGCGCCGCAAGGUGUGAGAGUUCAAGUCUCUCUUUCCGCA
Molecule: non-coding RNA, 82 nt
Organism: Vibrio panuliri
Lineage: Bacteria; Pseudomonadati; Pseudomonadota; Gammaproteobacteria; Vibrionales; Vibrionaceae
Source: Rfam